RNAcentral lists this ribosomal RNA (343 nucleotides) under Leisingera daeponensis. Its description in RNAcentral is "bacterial SSU rRNA". It matches the Rfam family "Bacterial small subunit ribosomal RNA", at positions 29 to 399 of the family's 1533-position model. The record is from RNAcentral. Lineage: Bacteria; Pseudomonadati; Pseudomonadota; Alphaproteobacteria; Rhodobacterales; Roseobacteraceae.
AACGAACGCUGGCGGCAGGCCUAACACAUGCAAGUCGAGCGCGCCCUUCGGGGUGAGCGGCGGACGGGUUAGUAACGCGUGGGAACGUGCCCUUCUCUAAGGAAUAGCCACUGGAAACGGUGAGUAAUACCUUAUACGCCCUUCGGGGGAAAGAUUUAUCGGAGAAGGAUCGGCCCGCGUUAGAUUAGAUAGUUGGUGGGGUAACGGCCUACCAAGUCUACGAUCUAUAGCUGGUUUUAGAGGAUGAUCAGCAACACUGGGACUGAGACACGGCCCAGACUCCUACGGGAGGCAGCAGUGGGGAAUCUUGGACAAUGGGGGCAACCCUGAUCCAGCCAUGCCG